GCACUGUUGGUGUAAUGGUAACAUCUAAGCUUCCCACCGAAUUAUGUUGAGUUUGCUUAGGCCCCGAGUUCGAUUCUCGGGCAGUGCA
Molecule: non-coding RNA, 88 nt
Organism: Pseudomassariella vexata
Lineage: Eukaryota; Fungi; Ascomycota; Sordariomycetes; Amphisphaeriales; Pseudomassariaceae
Source: the annotation of a RefSeq genome assembly